Molecule: RNA transcript, 1285 nt
Organism: Vigna radiata var. radiata (mung bean)
Lineage: Eukaryota; Viridiplantae; Streptophyta; Magnoliopsida; Fabales; Fabaceae
Gene name: Holliday junction resolvase MOC1, chloroplastic
Exons: 7
Source: RefSeq, a predicted model, not a curated record
UUGGACCCUUUUCUUCCCUCUCUUACAUCUCUCAACCAUUCUUUCUGUGUAUCUAUGUUCUAUCAUGGAAUCCCUACAAUUCACACAGCAUUUUCACCAAUCCCAAUUCCAUUUUAUGAACAAAUACUCUCCCAAACUAAAACCCAAAAUCUCCUUCAGGACCUUUUGGGUUUCUUCUUCUCAUUCUGCUUCUUCUUCCACUCUCACCAAAACCCAGAAUCUGACUGAUUCUCCAACCGUAGUUCCUGAAAAAAAGCGCAGAGCUAAGGCUUCUAAUACCCAAUUCAAAGAGAAUUGGUUGGCUUCACUCUCUUACCCUUUUCCAGAAAAGACCCAUCUUUUGAACUGUGAGCAUGACCCGACCCAACAAAAUGACGGGUUCAAAUGGGUCCUUGGAAUUGACCCGGAUGUCUCUGGUGCAGUUGCACUGUUGAAAACGAACGGUUCCGUUUCUUCAGCUCAGGUAUUUGACUCUCCUCAUGUAAAAAUACUUGUUGGCCAGAAAAAUAGGACUCGAAGGCGCUUAGAUGCCAAGUCUGUUGUCCAGUUGCUUCGUAGUUUUGACGCUCCAAUUGGAACCACUGCGUACAUAGAGCAGUCGCUCCCUUUUCCACAAGAUGGGAAACAGGGCUGGUGGAGUGGAGGAUUUGGAUAUGGGCUAUGGAUUGGCGUCUUAGUUGCCUCAGGGUUUUCUGUUAUUCCAGUGCCAUCUUUCACUUGGAAAGCGAAAUUUGAACUCUCUGGAAGCAUGACUUCUAAGGAUGAUAGCAGGAGACUGGCAUCAACAUUAUUUCCAUCACUGACUUCCAUGUUAAGUAGGAAAAAAGAUCAUGAUUAAGGAACUAAAUCCAUAUGGCUUUUAAAGUUUGAGGAUGAAGUCCAUCGAUAUGAAAGUUGGACCUUGACUAAAUUACCAAUGGCUUAUCAAGUGCGAAACAUCAGUGAGCAAUAAUUGUAGAUUUUCUUCUAAAGGAAGGGCAGAGGCUUUACUAAUUGCAGCAUAUGGUCAAGAUCAAAGCAAAAGCUUGGAACCAUCUUGUUGUGCCACUGUUCACAAUUUUGAAACAUGAAAAUUAGCAUAUUCAAGAGCUUCAGUCUCUUCUAUCUAAUUUGACUAGCAUUUGUAAUUUUGGCCUAAAUAGUAUUGUAAACUUUUUGUUUGCUAUCUUAUUACAAUGCCUAUAUUUUCUCUUCAAAUAAGUGUACGCAGAUAAAGUAAAAAGCUUGGUUGAUCUAAAAUUCAAGUGAGAGGAGAAGACUUCAGGGCAUUAUGUGAAGAGUUCGA